UUUAAGGACUUUCCCAGAUUCGUCCUUGAUAGGAGCAAUAGUAAGCAGGUUCCAAAAUGGCGUCCCAUCUUUCUUAUAAUUCAGCAGUCUCCCACAGUAACUAUUCCCUGCCCGUAGGGCCUCCCUUAUUUUAGCUACAUCUUCUGGGUCCCGUACCAGCACCCUGUAAAAACCGACAAUUCCUGCCUAUGACUUCCUUAGAGGUAUAUCCUGUCAUUUUAAAGAAGCCAGCACUUGCAUACAUUAUUGGGUAGUCUGGCUUUGUAGCAUCUGAUACCACAAAUGUUUGUUGGAAGGAGGAUAAUGCAUCUUUGAUGUCUUCAGAUAUUCUUGGAAUUCCUUUAUAAUCUUUUCCUCCAUCAUCUGAUAAGUCUCCGG
Molecule: unclassified non-coding RNA, 378 nt
Filed under: Hevea brasiliensis (rubber tree)
Lineage: Eukaryota; Viridiplantae; Streptophyta; Magnoliopsida; Malpighiales; Euphorbiaceae
Source: RNAcentral